GUGUCAGCCGCCGCGGUAAUACGGGGGGGGCAAGCGUUGUUCGGAAUUACUGGGCGUAAAGGGCUUGUAGGCGGCCAACUAAGUCAGACGUGAAAUCCCUCGGCUCAACCGGGGAACUGCGUCUGAUACUGGAUGGCUUGAAUCCGGGAGAGGGAUGCGGAAUUCCAGGUGUAGCGGUGAAAUGCGUAGAUAUCUGGAGGAACACCGGUGGCGAAGGCGGCAUCCUGGACCGGUAUUGACGCUGAAAAGCGAAAGCCAGGGGAGCAAACGGGAUUAGAAACCCUCGUAGUCC
Molecule: ribosomal RNA, 292 nt
Filed under: uncultured bacterium
Lineage: Bacteria
Description: partial 16S ribosomal RNA
Rfam family: Bacterial small subunit ribosomal RNA
Source: RNAcentral